GAUGAACGCUGGCGGCGUGCCUAAUACAUGCAAGUCGAGCGAACAGAUGAGGAGCUUGCUCCUCUGACGUUAGCGGCGGACGGGUGAGUAACACGUGGAUAACCUACCUAUAAGACUGGGAUAACUUCUGGAAACCGGAGCUAAUACCGGAUAAUAUAUUGAACCGCAUGGUUCAAUAGUGAAAGACGGUUUUGCUGUCACUUAUAGAUGGAUCCGCGCCGCAUUAGCUAGUUGGUAAGGUAACGGCUUACCAAGGCAACGAUGCGUAGCCGACCUGAGAGGGUGAUCGGCCACACUGGAACUGAGACACGGUCCAGACUCCUACGGGAGGCAGCAGUAGGGAAUCUUCCGCAAUGGGCGAAAGCCUGACGGAGCAACGCCGCGUGAGUGAUGAAGGUCUUCGGAUCGUAAAACUCUGUUAUUAGGGAAGAACAAAUGUGUAAGUAACUAUGCACGUCUUGACGGUACCUAAUCAGAAAGCCACGGCUAACUACGUG
This 497-nucleotide ribosomal RNA is filed under the name uncultured bacterium. RNAcentral's name for it is "partial 16S ribosomal RNA". It matches the Rfam family "Bacterial small subunit ribosomal RNA", at positions 28 to 507 of the family's 1533-position model. The record is from RNAcentral.